AUCCAGUUGACGAGUCCCAAAUAGGACAAAAUGAGCAUCCUGGAU
RNAcentral lists this non-coding RNA (45 nucleotides) under Trichobilharzia regenti. The record is from RNAcentral. Lineage: Eukaryota; Metazoa; Platyhelminthes; Trematoda; Strigeidida; Schistosomatidae.